UCCAGACUCCUACGGGAGGCAGCAGUGAGGAAUAUUGGUCAAUGGCCGAGAGGCUGAACCAGCCAAGUCGCGUGAGGGAUGACGGCCCUACGGGUUGUAAACCUCUUUUGUCGGGGAGCAAAGAGAGUCACGUGUGGCUCAUUGAGAGUACCCGAAGAAAAAGCAUCGGCUAACUCCGUGCCAGCAGCCGCGGUAAUACGGAGGAUGCGAGCGUUAUCCGGAUUUAUUGGGUGUAAAGGGUGCGUAGACGGGAAAUUAAGUUAGUUGUGAAAUCCCUCGGCUCAACUGAGGAACUGCAACUAAAACUGAUUUUCUUGAGUGCAGGAGAGGUAAGUGGAAUUCCUAGUGUAGCGGUGAAAUGCGUAGAUAUUAGGAGGAACACCAGUGGCGAAGGCGACUUACUGGACUGUAACUGACGUUGAGGCACGAAAGUGUGGGGAGCAAACAGGAUUAGAUACCCUCGUA
Molecule: ribosomal RNA, 465 nt
Filed under: uncultured bacterium
Lineage: Bacteria
Description: bacterial SSU rRNA
Rfam family: Bacterial small subunit ribosomal RNA
Source: RNAcentral